CAGCAGCCGCGGGAAUACGUAGGGUGCGAGCGUUGUCCGGAAUUAUUGGGCGUAAAGAGCUUGUAGGCGGUCUGUCGCGUCUGCUGUGAAAACCCGAGGCUCAACCUCGGGCCUGCAGUGGGUACGGGCAGACUAGAGUGCGGUAGGGGAGAACGGAACUCCUGGUGUAGCGGUGGAAUGCGCAGAUAUCAGGAAGAACACCGAUGGCGAAGGCAGUUCUCUGGGCCGUAACUGACGCUGAGAAGCGAAAGCGUGGGGAGCGAACAGGAUUAGAUACCCCAGUAGUCCCUGUCUCUUAUAC
RNAcentral lists this ribosomal RNA (301 nucleotides) under uncultured bacterium. RNAcentral's name for it is "partial 16S ribosomal RNA". It matches the Rfam family "Bacterial small subunit ribosomal RNA", at positions 509 to 807 of the family's 1533-position model. The record is from RNAcentral.